RNAcentral lists this ribosomal RNA (497 nucleotides) under uncultured bacterium. Its description in RNAcentral is "partial 16S ribosomal RNA". It matches the Rfam family "Bacterial small subunit ribosomal RNA", at positions 28 to 507 of the family's 1533-position model. The record is from RNAcentral.
GAUGAACGCUGGCGGCGUGCCUAAUACAUGCAAGUCGAGCGAACAGACGAGGAGCUUGCUCCUCUGACGUUAGCGGCGGACGGGUGAGUAACACGUGGAUAACCUACCUAUAAGACUGGGAUAACUUCGGGAAACCGGAGCUAAUACCGGAUAAUAUAUUGAACCGCAUGGUUCAAUAGUGAAAGACGGUUUUGCUGUCACUAAUAGAUGGAUCCGCGCCGCAUGAGCUGGUUGGUAAGUUAACGGCUUACCAAGGCAACGAUGCGUAGCCGACCUGAGAGGGUGAUCGGCCACCCUGGAGCUGGGACACGGUCAAGACGACUACGGGAGGCAGCAGUAGGGAAUCUUCCGCAGUGGGCGAAAGCAUGACGGAGCAACGCCGCGUGAGUGAUGAAGGUCUUCGGAUCGUAAAACUCUGUUAUUAGGGAAGAACAAAUGUGUAAGUAACUAUGCCCGUCUUGACGGUACCUAAUCAGAAAGCCACGGCUAACUACGUG